CAGUCGCCGCGGUAAAACGGAGGGUGCAAGCGUUAAUCGGAAUUACUGGGCGUAAAGCGCACGCAGGCGGUCUGACAAGUCAGAUGUGAAAUCCCCGGGCUUAACCUGGGAACUGCAUUUGAAACUGUCAGGCUGGAGUCUUGUAGAGGGGGGUGGAAUUCCAGGUGUAGCGGUGAAAUGCGUAGAGAUCUGGAGGAAUACCGAUGGCGAAGGCAGCCAUCUGGCCUAAUACUGACGCUGAGGUACGAAAGCAUGGGGAGCAAACAGGAUUAGAUACCCCUGUAGUCCCUGUCUCUUAUAC
This 301-nucleotide ribosomal RNA is filed under the name uncultured bacterium. Its description in RNAcentral is "partial 16S ribosomal RNA". It matches the Rfam family "Bacterial small subunit ribosomal RNA", at positions 509 to 807 of the family's 1533-position model. The record is from RNAcentral.